This 647-nucleotide long non-coding RNA is filed under the name Olea europaea (common olive). RNAcentral describes it as "long non-coding RNA (OEUR_LNC012388)". The record is from RNAcentral. Lineage: Eukaryota; Viridiplantae; Streptophyta; Magnoliopsida; Lamiales; Oleaceae.
CCUCACCACCUCCAGCCUGCAUCACCUCGUUGAAGAAAAAAUCAAACUUAAUCUAUUUACCCCGAAAAUAGAGACCGGGUUUUGAAAACUUAAAUAGAAAAAUGAACACAUUUGUCACCCAUUUUCUCCCAAAAUCGUACCCUGAAAAGCUAUUACCGUUUCAUCGACACACGGUCCUCACCACCUCCAGCCUGCAUCACCUCGUUGAAGAAAAAAUCAAACUUAAUCUAUUUACCCCGAAAAUAGAGACCGGGUUUUGAAAACUUAAAAAGACAAAUGAACACAUUUGUCACCCAUUUUCUCCCAAAAUUGUACCCUGGAAAGCCACUGUCGUUUCGCUGACACACAAUCCUCACCACCUCUGGCCUGCAUCACCCCGUUGAAGAAGAAAUCAACCUCAAUUUAUUUACCCCUAAAACAAAGACCGGGUUUUGAAAACACCUCCGUCACAAAUUAAUUCGAAUUUGUAGAUCGAUAAAAAGAUGUGAGCUGCAAACUUCCAGCAACCAUGAAGUCUACACCAAAAUCGUCAUCUGCCUAUGAACACAUCAUUUAUAUGCAUCGCUUGAGAGUAAGCAAUUGUUGUGGUUGUUGAUAUGUUUUUGUAAGGGUUUUAUAUUUGUGUUCAACGAAAUGAAUUCUUCGUC